Molecule: unclassified non-coding RNA, 226 nt
Filed under: Hevea brasiliensis (rubber tree)
Lineage: Eukaryota; Viridiplantae; Streptophyta; Magnoliopsida; Malpighiales; Euphorbiaceae
Source: RNAcentral
AGUUUUUGUUCUCUAUGAACACCUCCAGUGAGCUAGAGCCUAGAAUAUGUAUACAAUGCUAGUUGCCAUCUAAAUUUAUUGCGCUUAGUACAAUGCAGAAAAAAAUGGCGGGUGACUUAACAGCUUGGUGGUGGAACAAUGGGUGUAGGACUGGUGUUGCCAAUGCCGUAAUGAAGUAGCCUCAAAUGAGGAAGAAGAACGAUAGUUUGGAGUGCUGAAAAGAUAG